RNAcentral lists this unclassified non-coding RNA (277 nucleotides) under sea anemone metagenome. Its description in RNAcentral is "partial contains small subunit ribosomal RNA and internal transcribed spacer 1". The stretch from base 1 to 156 matches the Rfam family "Eukaryotic small subunit ribosomal RNA", at positions 1678 to 1831 of the family's 1831-position model. The record is from RNAcentral.
GCUACUACCGAUUGAAUGGUUUAGCGAGAUGCUUGGAUCGGGCCCAGCUCGUGCGAAAGCAUGUGCCGGGACUGAGAAGAAGUUCAAGCUUGAUCAUUUAGAGGAAGUAAAAGUCGUAACAAGGUUUUCGUAGGUGAACCUGCAGAAGGAUCAAGACCGGAAGAGCGCCGGUUGGGGAAAGAGUGUAGACUUAGGUGGCCGCAGAACCAUUAAAAAAAAAAUCUGUAACUACACCCUGAACUCACACAACCACGCUACACUCAAUACCAUCAUUCUU